AUUGAACGCUGGCGGCAUGCUUUACACAUGCAAGUCGAACGGCAGCGCGGGCUUCGGCCUGGCGGCGAGUGGCGAACGGGUGAGUAAUACAUCGGAACGUGCCCAGUAGUGGGGGAUAGCUCGGCGAAAGCCGGAUUAAUACCGCAUACGACCUGAGGGUGAAAGCGGGGGAUCUUCGGACCUCGCGCUAUUGGAGCGGCCGAGGGCAGAUUAGCUAGUUGGUGGGGUAAAGGCCUACCAAGGCGACGAUCUGUAGCUGGUCUGAGAGGACGACCAGCCACACUGGGACUGAGACACGGCCCAGACUCCUACGGGAGGCAGCAGUGGGGAAUUUUGGACAAUGGGCGAAAUCCUGAUCCAGCAAUGCCGCGUGUGUGAUGAAGGCCUUCGGGUUGUAAAGCACUUUUGGCGGGAACGAAAAGGACUGUGCCAAUACCACGGUUCGAUGACGGUACCCGCAGAAUAAGCACCGGCUAACUACGUG
This 484-nucleotide ribosomal RNA is filed under the name uncultured bacterium. RNAcentral describes it as "partial 16S ribosomal RNA". It matches the Rfam family "Bacterial small subunit ribosomal RNA", at positions 29 to 507 of the family's 1533-position model. The record is from RNAcentral.